RNAcentral lists this ribosomal RNA (235 nucleotides) under uncultured bacterium. Its description in RNAcentral is "partial 16S ribosomal RNA". It matches the Rfam family "Bacterial small subunit ribosomal RNA", at positions 29 to 292 of the family's 1533-position model. The record is from RNAcentral.
AACGAACGCUGGCGGCAUGCCUAACACAUGCAAGUCGAGCGCCCGUAGCAAUACGGGAGCGGCGCACGGGUGAGUAGCGCGUGGGAACCUGCCCAGAGGUUCGGGACAACCGCGGGAAACUGCGGCUGAUACCGGAUGAUGCCUGAGGGCCAAAGAUUUAUCGCCUUUGGAGGGCCGCGUCGGAUUAGUAGUUGGUGAGGUAACGGCUCACCAAGCCUGUGAUCCGUAGCUGGUC